ACUUUUUCCCUCUUUCUAUUCUUUUCCGCCCCUCUUCCCUCCUUUUUUUUUGUUUAAAUUUUUUUUAGGUUCUCCCUUCUCCCACGCCUGACGCCUCCUCUCUGUGUUUUCUUCUAUUGGUUCUCCCUCAAUCCAAGCCACCAUGCUCCCUUCCCUUCUCCCACGCCUCCCUUCCCUCAACCCACUCCGCCAAAAAUUGAAGCUCUUCCCUUCUCUCUCUGAUCGAACCCAAAAACCCAAACUCUUCUCUUCUUCCUCUGAUCGAACCCACAAUCACAAACCCAAGCUCUUCUCUCCCUGACCAAACCCAAGCUUGAAACCCAUCUGCUCUUCGUUCUCAUCUCAAAACCGAAGCUUCAAGGGAAGAGAUUAGGCUUCCGUUUGGGUCAGACUGAAGCUCCAUGGGUAUAAACAAUGGGUUAUUAGGUUUUGGUUUGGGUUAGGGUUUGGACGUUUGGUUGUGGGUCUUGUAUUUCUAUCUCAAGUUCAUCACUGAUUGGGGCAAGGCUUCUAGCCGAUUCAACUCCAAAACAGACUGCAAUUGGUAGGGUGCGUUCUGCUUGCUAAAAUAGGUAAUGCGGGGUGUGUCCUGGGCCCCAGAUUUUGAAUCUUCAAGAAGUUUGUUCCAUAAGAUAUAUAUCAUGAUAUUUCAAAAUUAAAAUUGAGGAUCUGAUAGUGACGUACUCCUCAGACCUUAUCAUAGAAGGUUCUUUGGUUGUUGAGGCAACUCUAUGAUGUGGCCCCAAAUGACAUUCAUUUAAUGAUUAGUUGUGUAUCCAAAGUUCUGUGCAAUGCUGAACAUAGAUUUGAUGCUAGCUGUUUGCUGACACUGCUUUUGCAAGAGGGCGCACUUAAAGGAAUGUCUUUAAUAAGUAGGCUGUGUCAUUUUGUACAUUAUCUACUUAUGGACUCGCAAGGAGACUUGCUGUUUUACACUAGUAUCAUACAAGGGGAAAUUGAUGUUGACUCACGUCCAACCAUAUCAAUCACUUGGAGUUAUGAAAUUAACUCUUAUAUUCUUGCCAGUCUUCCAUCUGAAUAUAAUUCUCUUGUGACCUCUGUUACCAGUUGGUUGGAAUCGAUUUCUCUUGAUGAACUCUUUGGACUUCGUUGCAAUUUGGCAUGACUUUAGCAAAUUGUAAAUUUUAGACUUUGAAACAAGCAAGUUCCUAUUUGAAAUUUUGAAACAAGCAGGUUCCUAUUUGAAAUUUUGGACUUCGAAAAAGGCAAGUUCCUUAUGUAAAUACUGUUUGACAGGUUGAUGGUUUAGUAAUUGGAUUAGAUAUGUGAUCGUUGAUAAAUUUUCAAUUGUGCCCAAUGUGAGCUCACAUGUUAGUGAGAGAAAUGUCUCAUACACAUCAAGCACAAGAUACAUUC
Molecule: long non-coding RNA, 1377 nt
Organism: Quercus robur (English oak)
Lineage: Eukaryota; Viridiplantae; Streptophyta; Magnoliopsida; Fagales; Fagaceae
Exons: 3
Source: RefSeq, a predicted model, not a curated record